This 55-nucleotide transfer RNA is filed under the name Gordius sp. VVA-2019. RNAcentral's name for it is "tRNA-Val". Lineage: Eukaryota; Metazoa; Nematomorpha; Gordioida; Gordea; Gordiidae. The record is from RNAcentral.
AGAGUCUUUACACAUAGCUUAAAAAGAGCAAUUCACUUACAUUGAAAAGGUUAAC